AUGUGACGGUGAGAGUUGG
This 19-nucleotide unclassified non-coding RNA is filed under the name Chlamydomonas reinhardtii. RNAcentral describes it as "small RNA Cre_0788". The record is from RNAcentral. Lineage: Eukaryota; Viridiplantae; Chlorophyta; Chlorophyceae; Chlamydomonadales; Chlamydomonadaceae.